This is a long non-coding RNA of Limulus polyphemus (Atlantic horseshoe crab), 323 nucleotides long. RefSeq lists it as uncharacterized. Lineage: Eukaryota; Metazoa; Arthropoda; Merostomata; Xiphosura; Limulidae. The record is from RefSeq and is a predicted model, not a curated record. The transcript is spliced from 3 exons.
GGCUGCUAUGCGGAAUGCAUCACAAACUCAUCUUUAAAAAUUUGUGACUGUGUUUUCCUAUCCUUCGACUAUCUCUUAACUAAGCCUGAUCCCUAUGGAAGGUAUACGGGAAACCCGAACUGUCACCAAAGCUGGACAUUUGAAGAUCCAUUUCCAAAAUCUUGUAUGUUAAUUGAUCCAAGAGGAGCUAUAGACAACUAUAUUUCGUCUUUACAGGACUGCUUUUCUAAAUGUACCGUUCCUUGCAGGAAGAUACUCUACACUGUGAAACUGAGAAAAAGUUUUCUUUUGACUAGACAUCAGGUAAGUCAUUUUCUUUAGAA